RNAcentral lists this ribosomal RNA (159 nucleotides) under Micractinium sp. CCAP 248/2. RNAcentral's name for it is "5.8S ribosomal RNA". It matches the Rfam family "5.8S ribosomal RNA". Rfam says of the family: 5.8S ribosomal RNA (5.8S rRNA) is a component of the large subunit of the eukaryotic ribosome. It is transcribed by RNA polymerase I as part of the 45S precursor that also contains 18S and 28S rRNA. Functionally, it is thought that 5.8S rRNA may be involved in ribosome translocation. Lineage: Eukaryota; Viridiplantae; Chlorophyta; Trebouxiophyceae; Chlorellales; Chlorellaceae. The record is from RNAcentral.
CAACUCUCAACAACGGAUAUCUUGGCUCCCGUAUCGAUGAAGAACGCAGCGAAAUGCGAUACGUAGUGUGAAUUGCAGAAUUCCGUGAACCAUCGAAUCUUUGAACGCAAAUUGCGCCCGAGGCUUCGGCUGAGGGCAUGUCUGCCUCAACGUCGGCUU